This 497-nucleotide ribosomal RNA is filed under the name uncultured bacterium. Its description in RNAcentral is "partial 16S ribosomal RNA". It matches the Rfam family "Bacterial small subunit ribosomal RNA", at positions 28 to 507 of the family's 1533-position model. The record is from RNAcentral.
GAUGAACGCUGGCGGCGUGCCUAAUACAUGCAAGUCGAGCGAACGGACGAGAAGCUUGCUUCUCUGAUGUUAGCGGCGGACGGGUGAGUAACACGUGGAUAACCUACCUAUAAGACUGGGAUAACUUCGGGAAACCGGAGCUAAUACCGGCUGAUAUUUUGAACCGCAUGGUUCAAAAGUGAAAGACGGUCUUGCUGUCACUUAUAGAUGGAUCCGCGCUGCAUUAGCUAGUUGGUAAGGUAACGGCUUACCAAGGCAACGAUGCAUAGCCGACCUGAGAGGGGGAUCGGCCACACUGGAACUGAGACACGGUCCAGACUCCUACGGGAGGCGGCAGUAGGGAAUCUUCCGCAAGGGGCGAAAGCCUGACGGAGCAAAGCCGCGUGAGUGAUGAAGGUCUUCGGAUCGUAAAACUCUGUUAUUAGGGAAGAACAUAUGUGUAAGUAACUGGGCACAUCUUGACGGUACCUAAUCAGAAAGCCACGGCUAACUACGUG